CCGCGGUAAUACGGAGGAUCCAAGCGUUAUCCGGAAUCAUUGGGUUUAAAGGGUCCGUAGGCGGUUUUUUAAGUCAGAGGUGAAAUCCUGCAGCUCAACUGUAGAAUUGCCUUUGAUACUGAAAGACUUGAGUUAUUGUGAAGUGGUUAGAAUGUGUGGUGUAGCGGUGAAAUGCAUAGAUAUCACACAGAAUACCAAUUGCGAAGGCAGAUCACUAACAAUAUACUGACGCUCAGGGACGAAAGCGUGGGUAGCGAACAGG
Molecule: ribosomal RNA, 262 nt
Filed under: uncultured bacterium
Lineage: Bacteria
Description: partial 16S ribosomal RNA
Rfam family: Bacterial small subunit ribosomal RNA
Source: RNAcentral